GACGAACGCUGGCGGCGUGCUUAACACAUGCAAGUCGAACGGAAAGGCCCUGCUUUUGUGGGGUGCUCGAGUGGCGAACGGGUGAGUAACACGUGAGUAACCUGCCCUUGACUUUGGGAUAACUUCAGGAAACUGGGGCUAAUACCGGAUAGGAGCUCCUGCUGCAUGGUGGGGGUUGGAAAGUUUCGGCGGUUGGGGAUGGACUCGCGGCUUAUCAGCUUGUUGGUGGGGUAGUGGCUUACCAAGGCUUUGACGGGUAGCCGGCCUGAGAGGGUGACCGGCCACAUUGGGACUGAGAUACGGCCCAGACUCCUACGGGAGGCAGCAGUGGGGAAUAGUGCACGAUGGGCGGAAGCCGGAUGCAGCAACGCCGCGUGCGGGAUGACGGCCUUCGGGUUGUAAACCGCUUUCGCCUGUGACGAAGCGUGAGUGACGGUAAUGGGUAAAGAAGCACCGGCUAACUACGUG
RNAcentral lists this ribosomal RNA (468 nucleotides) under uncultured bacterium. Its description in RNAcentral is "partial 16S ribosomal RNA". It matches the Rfam family "Bacterial small subunit ribosomal RNA", at positions 28 to 507 of the family's 1533-position model. The record is from RNAcentral.